CCUACGGGAGGCAGCAGUGGGGGAUAUUGCACAAUGGGGGGAACCCUGAUGCAGCGACGCCGCGUGGGUGAAGAAGCGCCUCGGCGCGUAAAGCCCUGUCAGCAGGGAAGAAAAUGACGGUAACUGAAGAAGAAGCCCCGGCUAACUACGUGCCAGCAGCCGCGGUAAUACGUAGGGGGCAGGCGUUAUCCGGAUUUACUGGGUGUAACGGGGGCGCAGACGGCGAUGCAAGCCAGGAGUGAAAGCCCGGGGCCCAACCCCGGGACUGCUCUUGGAACUGUGUGGCUGGAGUGCAGGAGGGGCAGGCGGAAUUCCUGGUGUAGCGGUGAAAUGCGUAGAUAUCAGGAGGAACACCGGUGGCGAAGGCGGCCUGCUGGACUGCAACUGACGUUGAGGCCCGAAAGCGUGGGGAGCAAACAGGAUUAGAUACCCGAGUAGUC
Molecule: ribosomal RNA, 440 nt
Filed under: uncultured bacterium
Lineage: Bacteria
Description: partial 16S ribosomal RNA
Rfam family: Bacterial small subunit ribosomal RNA
Source: RNAcentral